This 389-nucleotide ribosomal RNA is filed under the name uncultured bacterium. Its description in RNAcentral is "bacterial SSU rRNA". It matches the Rfam family "Bacterial small subunit ribosomal RNA", at positions 28 to 419 of the family's 1533-position model. The record is from RNAcentral.
GACGAACGCUGGCGGCGUGCUUAACACAUGCAAGUCGAGCGGUAAGGCCCUUUCGGGGGUACACGAGCGGCGAACGGGUGAGUAACACGUGGGUGACCUGCCCUCAGCUCUGGGAUGAGCCUGGGAAACCGGGUCUAAUACCGGAUAUGACUCCAUGACGCAUGUUGUGGGGUGGAAAGCCUUGUGCGGCUGAGGAUGGGCCCGCGGCCUAUCAGCUUGUUGGUGGGGUGAGGCCUACCAAGGCGACGACGGGUAGCCGGCCUGAGAGGGCGACCGGCCACACUGGGACUGAGACACGGCCCAGACUCCUACGGGAGGCAGCAGUGGGGAAUCUUGCGCAAUGGGCGAAAGCCUGACGCAGCGACGCCGCGUGAGGGAUGACGGCCUGG